Molecule: transfer RNA, 86 nt
Filed under: Vreelandella halophila
Lineage: Bacteria; Pseudomonadati; Pseudomonadota; Gammaproteobacteria; Oceanospirillales; Halomonadaceae
Also listed under: 5 other names
Description: tRNA-Leu
Rfam family: tRNA
About the family: Transfer RNA (tRNA) molecules are approximately 80 nucleotides in length. Their secondary structure includes four short double-helical elements and three loops (D, anti-codon, and T loops). Further hydrogen bonds mediate the characteristic L-shaped molecular structure. tRNAs have two regions of fundamental functional importance: the anti-codon, which is responsible for specific mRNA codon recognition, and the 3' end, to which the tRNAs corresponding amino acid is attached (by aminoacyl-tRNA synthetases). tRNAs cope with the degeneracy of the genetic code in two manners: having more than one tRNA (with a specific anti-codon) for a particular amino acid; and 'wobble' base-pairing, i.e. permitting non-standard base-pairing at the 3rd anti-codon position.
Source: RNAcentral
CCGGGAGUGGCGGAACUGGUAGACGCGCUCGACUCAAAAUCGAGUGGCCUUGUGCCUUGUGGGUUCGAGUCCCACCUCCCGGACCA